UCAUGGGGCAGAUCCCGAACCCGCUGUCCAGCUAAGGAGUAAAAGGCGAGGACCAGCGGCUUCAAACCUAUUGGAUCGGAGGGGCAGGAGGAGAAUAAUUUUUGUCAGUAAUUUCUCAAAGAUUUCAUCUUUUAGCACUUGGUUUACGAGUUACUGUGCUAACUCCAGAAACGAAAUAGAUUAUCAGAAGGCAAUCCUGAAAAAUCUUUGAGAAAAAGGAUAUCCCUAUAAAAUUCAAAGGAGUCUUAAGAAUCACCACGAUAAGU
RNAcentral lists this long non-coding RNA (266 nucleotides) under Homo sapiens (human). RNAcentral describes it as "HSALNT0100834". The record is from RNAcentral. Lineage: Eukaryota; Metazoa; Chordata; Mammalia; Primates; Hominidae.